GCACUGCUGACGAGUCGUAAACAGGACGAAACAGCUGUCCAAUGC
Echinostoma caproni is the source of this 45-nucleotide non-coding RNA. The record is from Rfam. Lineage: Eukaryota; Metazoa; Platyhelminthes; Trematoda; Plagiorchiida; Echinostomatidae.